This 67-nucleotide transfer RNA is filed under the name Latona dysoni. RNAcentral's name for it is "tRNA-His". Lineage: Eukaryota; Metazoa; Arthropoda; Branchiopoda; Diplostraca; Sididae. The record is from RNAcentral.
GUGGUUAUAGUUUAAAUUAAAAUGUUGCGUUGUGGUUGCAUAGAUAAAUGAUUUUGUUUUAACCAUA